AAACCAGCACCUCAAGUGGUCAGGAUGAUUAUUGGGCCUAAAGCAUCCGUAGCCUGCUCUGUAAGUUUUCGGUUAAAUCUGUACGCUUAACGUACAGGCUGCCGGAAAUACUGCAGAGCUAGGGAGUGGGAGAGGUAGACGGUACUCUGGAGGAAGUGGUAAAAUGCUUUGAUCUCUAGAUGACCACCUGUGGCGAAGGCGGUCUACCAGAACACGUCCGACGGUGAGGGAUGAAAGCUGGGGGAGCAAACCGGAUUAGAAACCCCAGUAGUCC
RNAcentral lists this ribosomal RNA (274 nucleotides) under uncultured bacterium. RNAcentral's name for it is "partial 16S ribosomal RNA". It matches the Rfam family "Archaeal small subunit ribosomal RNA", at positions 473 to 747 of the family's 1478-position model. The record is from RNAcentral.